This 439-nucleotide ribosomal RNA is filed under the name uncultured bacterium. RNAcentral's name for it is "partial 16S ribosomal RNA". It matches the Rfam family "Bacterial small subunit ribosomal RNA", at positions 339 to 795 of the family's 1533-position model. The record is from RNAcentral.
CUACGGGACGCAGCAGUGGGGAAUGUUGCACAAUGGAGGAAACUCUGAUGCAGCAACGCCGCGUGGAGGAUGACACUUUUCGGAGCGUAAACUCCUUUUAUAUAGGAAGAAGCUGACGGUACUAUAUGAAUAAGCGCCGGCUAACUCCGUGCCAGCAGCCGCGGUAAUACGGAGGGCGCAAGCGUUACUCGGAAUCACUGGGCGUAAAGAGCGUGUAGGCGGAUUAAAAAGUCAGAAGUGAAAUCCUAUAGCUUAACUAUAGAACUGCUUCUGAAACUCUUAAUCUAGAAUAUGGGAGAGGUAGAUGGAAUUUCUGGUGUAGGGGUAAAAUCCGUAGAGAUCAGAAGGAAUACCGAUUGCGAAGGCGAUCUACUAGAACAUUAUUGACGCUGAGACGCGAAAGCGUGGGGAGCAAACAGGAUUAGAUACCCUCGUAGUC